UGGGGAAUUUUGGACAAUGGGCGAAAGCCUGAUCCAGCAAUGCCGCGUGUGUGAAGAAGGCCUUCGGGUUGUAAAGCACUUUUGUCCGGAAAGAAAUCCUUGGCUCUAAUACAGUCGGGGGAUGACGGUACCGGAAGAAUAAGCACCGGCUAACUACGUGCCAGCAGCCGCGGUAAUACGUAGGGUGCAAGCGUUAAUCGGAAUUACUGGGCGUAAAGCGUGCGCAGGCGGUUUGCUAAGACCGAUGUGAAAUCCCCGGGCUCAACCUGGGAACUGCAUUGGUGACUGGCAGGCUAGAGUAUGGCAGAGGGGGGUAGAAUUCCACGUGUAGCAGUGAAAUGCGUAGAGAUGUGGAGGAAUACCGAUGGCGAAGGCAGCCCCCUGGGCCAAUACUGACGCUCAUGCACGAAAGCGUGGGGAGCAAACAGGAUUAGAUACCCUGGUAGUCCACGCCCUAAAACGAUGUCAACUAGUUGUUGGGGACUUCAUUUUCCUUAGUAACGUAGCUAACGCGUGAAGUUGACCGCCUGGGGAGUACGGUCGCAAGAUUAAAACUUAAAUGAAUUGACGGGGUCAUAGCUGUUUCCU
Molecule: ribosomal RNA, 588 nt
Filed under: uncultured bacterium
Lineage: Bacteria
Description: partial 16S ribosomal RNA
Rfam family: Bacterial small subunit ribosomal RNA
Source: RNAcentral